RNAcentral lists this ribosomal RNA (725 nucleotides) under uncultured soil bacterium. RNAcentral's name for it is "bacterial SSU rRNA". It matches the Rfam family "Bacterial small subunit ribosomal RNA", at positions 36 to 761 of the family's 1533-position model. The record is from RNAcentral.
CUGGCGGUGUGCUUAACACAUGCAAGUCGAGCGAGAAAGGUCUUCGGACUGAGUAAAGCGGCAGACGGGUGAGUAACGCGUGGGAAUCUGCCUUUCAGUGGAGAAUACCCUCGAGAAAUCGAGGUUAAUCCUGCAUACGUCUUGAAAAAGAGAAAGAUGGCCUCUUUGCUGUCGCUGAAAGAUGAGCUUGCGUACUAUUAGCUAGUUGGUGGGGUAAAGGCCUACCAAGGCGAUGAUGGUUAGCCGACCUGAGAGGGUGUACGGCCACAUUGGAACUGAGACACGGUCCAGACUCCUACGGGAGGCAGCAGUGAGGAAUAUUGCGCAAUGGGCGAAAGCCUAACGCAGCGACACCGCGUGGAGGAUGAAGGUCUUUGGAUUGUAAACUUCUGUUAAGUGGGAAGAAAGGCAAGGUUAUAAUACAGCUUUGAUAUGACGGUACCACUAAAGAAAGCACCGGCUAACUUCGUGCCAGCAGCCGCGGUAAUACGAAGGGUGCGAGCGUUAUUCGGAAUUAUUGGGCGUAAAGGGUGCGCAGGCGGCGCGCUAAGUCAACUGUCAAAUUCCUCGGCCUAACCGGGGACCGGCGGUAGAUACUGGUGUGCUAGAGGGUGGAAGAGAGAAGUGGAAUUCUUGGAGUAGCGGUAAAAUGCGUAGAUCUCAAGAGGAACACCGAUGGCGAAGGCAGCUUCUUGGUCCAUUUCUGACGCUCAUGCACGAAAGCG